This 253-nucleotide ribosomal RNA is filed under the name uncultured bacterium. RNAcentral's name for it is "partial 16S ribosomal RNA". It matches the Rfam family "Bacterial small subunit ribosomal RNA", at positions 524 to 776 of the family's 1533-position model. The record is from RNAcentral.
UACGUAGGGGGCAAGCGUUGUCCGGGUUUAUUGGGCGUAAAGAGCGUGUAGGCGGCCAGACAGGUCCGUUGUGAAAACUCGAGGCUCAACCUCGAGACGUCGACGGAAACCGUCUGGCUAGAGUCCGGAAGAGGAGUGUGGAAUUCCUGGUGUAGCGGUGAAAUGCGCAGAUAUCAGGAAGAACACCUAUGGCGAAGGCAGCACUCUGGGACGGUACUGACGCUGAGACGCGAAAGCGUGGGGAGCGAACAGG